GUGCCCCAUGGCCAUAGCGGAUAGAAGACUCUCAGAGCAGCUGGCUUUGGCCUUAAGUUUGGGCUGGGGAUCCCACAGAGAAGUUGACAUAGUAGGGUGAGAGAAAAGUCACACUCUUGGUUAAAUACCUAUGUUUAUGUCCUGGCUCUGCCUGAAGUCAUUUCUUGAUAAUCUAUCCCCACUCCAUUUUAAAUAAAUAAAUAAUAAUAAUUAAAUAAAUAAUACAUAAUUAUAUGAU
Molecule: long non-coding RNA, 238 nt
Filed under: Mus musculus (house mouse)
Lineage: Eukaryota; Metazoa; Chordata; Mammalia; Rodentia; Muridae
Description: long non-coding RNA chr7:24666732-24666970
Source: RNAcentral